RNAcentral lists this ribosomal RNA (568 nucleotides) under uncultured bacterium. RNAcentral's name for it is "partial 16S ribosomal RNA". It matches the Rfam family "Bacterial small subunit ribosomal RNA", at positions 355 to 1375 of the family's 1533-position model. The record is from RNAcentral.
UGGGGAAUAUUGCACAAUGGGCGAAAGCCUGAUGCAGCAACGCCGCGUGAGGGACGACGGCCUUCGGGUUGUAAACCUCUUUUAGCAAGGAAGAAGCGAAAGUGACGGUACUUGCAGAAAAAGCGCCGGCUAACUACGUGCCAGCAGCCGCGGUAAUACGUAGGGCGCAAGCGUUAUCCGGAAUUAUUGGGCGUAAAGAGCUCGUAGGCGGUUUGUCGCGUCUGCUGUGAAAACCCGAGGCUCAACCUCGGGCCUGCAGUGGGUACGGGCAGACUAGAGUGCGGUAGGGGAGAUUGGAACUCCUGGUGUAGCGGUGGAAUGCGCAGAUAUCAGGAAGAACACCGAUGGCGAAGGCAGAUCUCUGGGCCGUAACUGACGCUGAGGAGCGAAAGGGUGGGGAGCAAACAGGCUUAGAUACCCUGGUAGUCCACCCGUAAACGUUGGGAACUAGUUGUGGGGUCCAUUCCACGGAUUCCGUGACGCAGCUAACGCAUUAAGUUCCCCGCCUGGGGAGUACGGCCGCAAGGCUAAAACUUGAAAUGAAUUGACGGGGUCAUAGCUGUUUCCU